This 504-nucleotide ribosomal RNA is filed under the name uncultured bacterium. RNAcentral's name for it is "partial 16S ribosomal RNA". It matches the Rfam family "Bacterial small subunit ribosomal RNA", at positions 29 to 507 of the family's 1533-position model. The record is from RNAcentral.
ACGAACGCUGGCGGCGUGCCUAAUACAUGCAAGUAGAACGCACAGUUUAUACCGUAGCUUGCUACACCAUAAACUGUGAGUUGCGAACGGGUGAGUAACGCGUAGGUAACCUGCCUGGUAGCGGGGGAUAACUAUUGGAAACGAUAGCUAAUACCGCAUAAUAUUAAUUAUUGCAUGAUAAUUGAUUGAAAGAUGCAAUUGCAUCACUACCAGAUGGACCUGCGUUGUAUUAGCUAGUAGGUGAGGUAACGGCUCACCUAGGCGACGAUACAUAGCCGACCUGGGAGGGUGAUCGGCCAAACUGGGACUGAGACACGGCCCAGACUCCUACGGGAGGCAGCAGUAGGGAAUCUUCGGAAAUGGACGAAAGUCUGACCGAGCAACGCCGCGUGAGUGAAGAAGGUUUUCGGAUCGUAAAGCUCUGUUGUAAGAGAAGAACGGGUGUGAGAGUGGAAAGUUCACACUGUGACGGUAUCUUACCAGAAAGGGACGGCUAACUACGUG